Molecule: ribosomal RNA, 520 nt
Filed under: uncultured bacterium
Lineage: Bacteria
Description: bacterial SSU rRNA
Rfam family: Bacterial small subunit ribosomal RNA
Source: RNAcentral
ACGAACGCUGGCGGCGUGCUUAAGACAUGCAAGCCGGACGGUAAGGCCCCCUUCGGGGGGUACACGAGUGGCGCACGGGUGAGUAACGCGUGGGCAACCUGCCUUCGGGUCCGGGACAACUCCGGGAAACUGGAGCUAAUACCGGAUGAGACCACGAGGUCUUCGGACUUCGCGGAAAAAGAUGGCCUCUCCUUGGAAGCUAUCGCCUGUCGAUGGGCCCGCGUCCCAUUAGUUUGUUGGUGAGGUAACGGCUCACCAAGGCGACGACGGGUAGCUGGUCUGAGAGGAUGAUCAGCCACACUGGAACUGAGACACGGUCCAGACUCCUACGGGAGGCAGCAGUCGGGAAUUUUGGGCAAUGGGGGCAACCCUGACCCAGCAACGCCGCGUGAGGGAUGAAGGCCUUCGGGUCGUAAACCUCUGUCGGGAGGGAAGAAAGGUCACCGUUCAAAUAGGGCGGGGGCUUGACGGUACCUCCAAAGGAAGCGCCGGCUAACUCCGUGCCAGCAGCCGCGGUAAU